Molecule: ribosomal RNA, 392 nt
Filed under: Bacillus paranthracis
Lineage: Bacteria; Bacillati; Bacillota; Bacilli; Caryophanales; Bacillaceae
Description: bacterial SSU rRNA
Rfam family: Bacterial small subunit ribosomal RNA
Source: RNAcentral
UUUAUUGGAGAGUUUGAUCCUGGCUCAGGAUGAACGCUGGCGGCGUGCCUAAUACAUGCAAGUCGAGCGAAUGGAUUAAGAGCUUGCUCUUAUGAAGUUAGCGGCGGACGGGUGAGUAACACGUGGGUAACCUGCCCAUAAGACUGGGAUAACUCCGGGAAAUCGGGGCUAAUACCGGAUAACAUUUUGAACCGCAUGGUUCGAAAUUGAAAGGCGGCUUCGGCUGUCACUUAUGGAUGGACCCGCGUCGCAUUAGCUAGUUGGUGAGGUAACGGCUCACCAAGGCAACGAUGCGUAGCCGACCUGAGAGGGUGAUCGGCCACACUGGGACUGAGACACGGCCCAGACUCCUACGGGAGGCAGCAGUAGGGAAUCUUCCGCAAUGGACGAAA